UAUCUAGUGUGGGCGCAGGAGAUUUGAGUGGGUCUGACCCUAGUACGAGAGGACUGGGUUGGACGGACCUCUAGUGUACCAGCCGUCAUGCCAAUGGCGUGGCUGGGUAGCUAUGUCCGGUCGGGAUAAACGCUGAAUGCAUCUAAGCGUGAAGCUCGCCACGAGAUGAGAUCUCCCGGUCGCAAGACCCUAAAGACCCGUGGAAGACUACCACGUUGAUAGGCGGGAUGUGUAAGGUUGGCAACAGCUUUAGCUUACCCGUACUAAUCGGUUGUGAGGCUUGAUCAUA
RNAcentral lists this ribosomal RNA (289 nucleotides) under Acidobacteriota bacterium. RNAcentral describes it as "Acidobacteria bacterium partial 23S ribosomal RNA". It matches the Rfam family "Bacterial large subunit ribosomal RNA", at positions 2639 to 2925 of the family's 2925-position model. Lineage: Bacteria; Pseudomonadati; Acidobacteriota. The record is from RNAcentral.